GAUGAACGCUGGCGGCGUGCCUAAUACAUGCAAGUCGAACGGACAGACCAUGAGCUUGCUCCGCUGACGUUAGCGGCGGGCGGGUGUGUAACGCGUGGAUCACCUACCUAUAUUACUGGUAUAAUUUCGAGAAUCCGGAUCUAAUACCAUAUAAUAUAUUGAACCGCGUUGGUCAAUGGUGAAUGUCGGUUUUUCUGUCUCGUAUAGAUGGAUCCGCGCCGCAUUAGCUGGUUGUUAAGGUCACGGCUUACCAAGGCUACGAUGCGUAGCCGACCUGAGGGGGUGAUAGGCCACACUGGAACGGAGACACGGUCCAGAGUACUACGGGAGGGAGCAGUAGGGAAUAUUCGGCAAUGGGGGGAAGAUUGACGGAGCAACGCCGAGUGAGUGAUGAAGGUCUUCGGAGCGUAAAAAUCUGUUAUUAGGGAAGAACAAAUGUGUCCGUAAAUAUGGACGUCUUGACGGUAACUAAUAAGAAAGCACCGGCUAACUACGUG
This 497-nucleotide ribosomal RNA is filed under the name uncultured bacterium. RNAcentral's name for it is "partial 16S ribosomal RNA". It matches the Rfam family "Bacterial small subunit ribosomal RNA", at positions 28 to 507 of the family's 1533-position model. The record is from RNAcentral.